AGUGAUGCUGACAGAUUCUGAGGUGCAGGCUUGGUCACAUGAAAAGUUUAAGAAAAAAGGAAAAUAUAAAAAAUAAAAUAAUGUGUCAAAAAAGUCGGGUUACAAAGACAAAACCUCUAGCCUAUUUUGAUUCCUCGUCGGGGUCGUGUCUAAACAACCUUCUUAUAUACACAAAGCAAGCCACGCUGUUUAUCUUCCCACGGAAUGCGAAGAAACGUG
Long non-coding RNA from Gadus macrocephalus (Pacific cod), 219 nucleotides. RefSeq lists it as uncharacterized. NCBI's taxonomy places the organism in Eukaryota, Metazoa, Chordata, Actinopteri, Gadiformes, Gadidae. The record is from RefSeq and is a predicted model, not a curated record. The transcript has 2 exons.